CGCCUAAAGAGAAGCUUGCGGCUGAUUAGCUUGUUGGUAAGGUAAUGGCUUACCAAGGCGACGAUCAGUAUCUGGUUUGAGAGGACGAUCAGACACACUGGAACUGAGACACGGUCCAGACUCCUACGGGAGGCAGCAGUGGGGAAUUUUCCGCAAUGGGCGAAAGCCUGACGGAGCAAUACCGCGUGAGGGAUGAAUGCCUAUGGGUUGUAAACCUCUUUUUUCAGGGAGGAACAAAAUGACGUGUACCUGAAGAAUAAGCAUCGGCUAACUCCGUGCCAGCAGCCGCGGUAAGACGGAGGAUGCAAGUGUUAUCCGGAAUCACUGGGCGUAAAGCGUCUGUAGGUGGGUAAUAA
RNAcentral lists this ribosomal RNA (356 nucleotides) under uncultured bacterium. RNAcentral's name for it is "bacterial SSU rRNA". It matches the Rfam family "Bacterial small subunit ribosomal RNA", at positions 216 to 585 of the family's 1533-position model. The record is from RNAcentral.